Long non-coding RNA from Oryza sativa Japonica Group (Japanese rice), 923 nucleotides. RefSeq lists it as uncharacterized. The record is from RefSeq and is a predicted model, not a curated record. Lineage: Eukaryota; Viridiplantae; Streptophyta; Magnoliopsida; Poales; Poaceae.
GCUCCCGAGAUCGACGCCCCGCCUCCUUCCCUCCUGGUCGCUGACGCCGCCUCACUGGCUCCCCGCCACCGCCACCUCCCAUUCGCCGUCCGUAGCGUGCUCUGCCUCCGGCCUGCCUUUUCCCCACCCCAACUCUUCCUGUUCAGUUCUUCCUCACAACCGCCGCUGCCUCUUCGUCUCCAUCACCAGCGCUACGGCGCUACCUCCUCACCUCCCCACCGACGCCCCAUCACCAUCUCUGUCGCUUCCGUACACCUAACCUGCGUUGGCUCGCCGCAUCCGCCUGUAGUCCCUAUGCUGCCCUGAAAAGAGAAUAACGAACAGCAUACGCAUAGCUACAGUGGGGAGGGGAUAGAUCGGGAUGGAGGGCCAUGCCUGUUGGAUCCAUCACCGGAGCUGUCUCCAAUCUCCAUCGAGGGAUACCCAUUUCGAGAGCCCAAGGCUAUAGUUGCUCAGGUGAACCAUGCUACUGAGGCUGAAGGAAUUAUCAGCACGGAAUGAUUGGUGGUGAGAACGUGUGCUUGGGUAGGCGGCAGAUGAGGGAGAAAUAAGUGAUUGACUACUUGAUCAGAAAUACUGAUUAAUGCAAACCAUGGUUAAGUUCUUUACUGUCUUAGCGGUGCCGGGUGCAGUGCUUAUCGAUUCAAAUGAAAUAUGAUGGUCUUGAGAUGCCUUUGCGCAGACAGAACUACUUUAGCUUCUGGCCUCUCUAGAAAAGGAUGAAAUGCAUCCAACAUUUGGCAGAGUUCAAAAUGUUGCGUGAUCACCUUAUACCAAUCUUUGUAAUACUGUACUGAUUAAUAUUUGUACAAUUUGAGAAGUAGAUCUUCCUAUCAAUUUUUACAUGGGUCUAAUCUUUGUAAUAGUGAUGUCGGUUGGUAUGAUGUUGUUUAUAUGCUAUCAAUUCUACAGUAUAUUUGCAA